UGUACUGAUGCAAAGCUGACAAGCCUAUCAGACAGUGUGCCGACAUUUGAUAAGGCUCACGCCAUAACGAAAGGCGAACUUUCAAAGCCGAUCUCUCAAAACAAGCAAUUUUCCAAACCCUUUCCAAUCCUCGACACAGCAAAACGGUCCCGAAGCCUUUUAGUUGAAAAAAUGUGCGCCACUGCCACAACCGGAUGCGCGAGGCUCGGUUAAGUCCGCUUCUGUCCGCGAUGCUGACUUAUUACAUGAAAUGCCCAAAUCGUGCAAUCGUUGAAUCCAGUAUUUAACGCGAUUCAUAUCCCCACCACCAACCACGCCAGACAGUUGUUGAUUUGCUGCAAUCUUCAGUCAGUACACCGACACUAUCAAUUGAGUACCCAGCCCAAAGAUGUGUCCUCGGACAACACCCGCACACGCAAAGCCGUAUCGUUUCGGUAAGCAGAUCACGCCGACUCGCACCAUAAGGCGUCGCGGAAGGUCUCACACCAUGGGACCAAGGUUCGCUUAUCGCCGGGUACGUACGGAUGACCGAGACAUUGAGAUAUUGAAGAAUCGGCUAAUCAAUCAUUCAACCGUCGUAUGGCGCUAUCUGAAAAGGCAAUCCAACGGAUGACACCACGUGACGAUCGUGAUCACAAUGCUCGUUUUAAAUGGCACUGCAGCAUGUCGCUCGUAGUUAAUGGAGAAUCCCCGUUUAAGAAGCGCCAGCUCAUCGACCCAGUAACACAUUGAACCUUUUUUUUCGCCAUUAAAAAUUUCCAAGUGCGAUCAUAACACCUGCCAGACAGGCACGUUUGUUUGCAAAUAAACAAACACUGCCACUACACCACUACUACCGUACAGCAAUCACAUCGUGGUGGUGGUGUUGGUGGUGUUGAACACACAACCUCGUGUUGCACACACUGCACAGUGCACUCAAUCCAACGCAGCCACUU
Anopheles arabiensis is the source of this 935-nucleotide long non-coding RNA. RefSeq lists it as uncharacterized. The record is from RefSeq and is a predicted model, not a curated record. The transcript has 3 exons. Lineage: Eukaryota; Metazoa; Arthropoda; Insecta; Diptera; Culicidae.